AGAAACCUUGUUACGACUUCUCCUUCCUCUAAAUGAUAAGGUUCAAUGGACUUCUCGCGACGUCGGGGGCGGCGAACCGCCCCCGUCGCCGCGAUCCGAACACUUCACCGGACCAUUCAAUCGGUAGGAGCGAC
This 134-nucleotide ribosomal RNA is filed under the name Liliopsida environmental sample. Its description in RNAcentral is "partial 18S ribosomal RNA". Lineage: Eukaryota; Viridiplantae; Streptophyta; Magnoliopsida. The record is from RNAcentral.